UUGUUUGCAAAUGCAGCACUAUUAAGAUUCUCAAAUAUUCGACAUUAAAAUGCAAUUAAAUGUGAAUCUUGAUGAUGCUGCAUUAGCAAUAAC
Molecule: microRNA precursor, 93 nt
Filed under: Solanum commersonii (Commerson's wild potato)
Lineage: Eukaryota; Viridiplantae; Streptophyta; Magnoliopsida; Solanales; Solanaceae
Also listed under: 1 other name
Description: mir-172 microRNA precursor family
Rfam family: mir-172 microRNA precursor family
About the family: mir-172 has been experimentally verified in Arabidopsis thaliana. This family is thought to target mRNAs coding for APETALA2-like transcription factors.
Source: Rfam by way of RNAcentral